Nerophis lumbriciformis (worm pipefish) is the source of this 819-nucleotide long non-coding RNA. RefSeq lists it as uncharacterized. Lineage: Eukaryota; Metazoa; Chordata; Actinopteri; Syngnathiformes; Syngnathidae. The record is from RefSeq and is a predicted model, not a curated record.
GAACGAAUGCCAAUGGCAUGAAACAUAUCCCCGCGACGGGAGGAGAAUCACUCGCGGCAUUGGGGCAAGCAGAGCAGAGAGCGAGAGCGUUGUCGUUCACUGAGUGAUUCAUGUCGUUAAUCCGCGGUGAACGAAUCGUUCGCUCAGUCCCUCCCCCCUCCCCCAUGAUGAGUAGCUGGCUGCGUCGUUCGCCGACGUCACAGAAUGCGCCAGUUCCACUCAUACCGGCAUGGUCGCGGCGGAGCUCAACUGAACUGAGAAAGGAACGAAUCAGUUCAUGAAGUGAUUCGGUUCAGUACGUUCACUCAAAAGAUUCGUUCGUUCGAACGAAUCGUUCGCGAACGACACAACAUUACCAGAAACGAAACUUUCCUCCGUCAGUAAAUGGAUGAAAGCUCGUUUCGUUAAGUUUCGUUUCCAGAAGCGCCUUCCCACAUCUAGUCCACUAUUUAAACUCCAUGCAGGCUGGUAGUGCAAAGACUAGGCGACACCAUGGGACUGAGUUGGAGUACUUCGUCAAAUGAUGUGAGAGCGAUGGGGUUCACCUCAAGUGGGAUAACUAAAGGAUCCAGGGCUGCAGGUAUGAUGUCAUCUGAAGCCACCCGCAGUGGAGGAGGGGUGCUAUCCGGGGGCCGUGUAUCUAACUAUCAGUCCAAAGGGGCGGGCGGACAUGGUGGAAAAUACUAAUAACCAAAUAACAAAACCAUGAAAUAAAUAAUAAUAUUGGUCUAUUAAACUGUGUUCUGAAUGCAUUUUCUGUGUGAUUAAAAUCGCCUUUUAACAUUUACUUGAAUAAAAAUUACAAAAUUUGCACACAAA